Molecule: ribosomal RNA, 465 nt
Filed under: Vreelandella stevensii
Lineage: Bacteria; Pseudomonadati; Pseudomonadota; Gammaproteobacteria; Oceanospirillales; Halomonadaceae
Description: partial 16S ribosomal RNA
Rfam family: Bacterial small subunit ribosomal RNA
Source: RNAcentral
CCUACGGGGGGCUGCAGUGGGGAAUAUUGGACAAUGGGGGGAACCCUGAUCCAGCCAUGCCGCGUGUGUGAAGAAGGCCCUCGGGUUGUAAAGCACUUUCAGUGAGGAAGAACGCCUGGUGGUUAAUACCCAUCAGGAAAGACAUCACUCACAGAAGAAGCACCGGCUAACUCCGUGCCAGCAGCCGCGGUAAUACGGAGGGUGCGAGCGUUAAUCGGAAUUACUGGGCGUAAAGCGCGCGUAGGUGGCCUGAUAAGCCGGUUGUGAAAGCCCCGGGCUCAACCUGGGAACGGCAUCCGGAACUGUCAAGCUAGAGUGCAGGAGGGGAAGGUAGAAUUCCCGGUGUAGCGGUGAAAUGCGUAGAGAUCGGGAGGAAUACCAGUGGCGAAGGCGGCCUUCUGGACUGACACUGACACUGAGGUGCGAAAGCGUGGGUAGCAAACAGGAUUAGAUACCCGUGUAGUC